Molecule: long non-coding RNA, 196 nt
Organism: Aricia agestis (brown argus)
Lineage: Eukaryota; Metazoa; Arthropoda; Insecta; Lepidoptera; Lycaenidae
Exons: 3
Source: RefSeq, a predicted model, not a curated record
UAAUAUAAAUUGUGAUAAUAACUUAGAGGAAAAGCUUGUAUUUAUUCCUGUGAAUACUAAACGCAUUGAGAAGUUUAGAAAUAAUCUAAGUUCAAGUAUUCAAUUAUUGAAUGGGUCGAAUAGCUCAGAUGAAGCUUUUAAUAAAUUAUUUAAGAUAAUAAGAACCCAAUUUAACAGUAUUUACGCCGAAAUCGGU